GGACGGGUGAGUAACNCGUAGGUNACCUGCCCAGAAGCGGGGGACAACAUUUGGAAACAGAUGCUAAUACCGCAUAACAACGUUGUUCGCAUGAACAACGCUUAAAAGAUGGCUUCUCGCUAUCACUUCUGGAUGGACCUGCGGUGCAUUAGCUGGUUGGUAGGGUAACGGCCUACCNAGGCGAUGAUGCNUAGCCGAGUUGAGAGACUNAUCGGCCACNAUGGGACUGAGACACGGCCUAUACUCCUACGGGAGGCAGCAGUAGGGAAUCUUCCACAAUGGGCGCAAGCCUGAUGGAGCAACACCGCGUGAGUGAAGAAGGGUUUCGGCUCGUAAAGCUCUGUUGUUAAAGAAGAACACGUAUGAGAGUAACUGUUCAUACGUUGACGGUAUUUAACCAGAAAGUCACGGCUAACUACGUGCCAGCAGCCGCGGUAAUACGUA
This 444-nucleotide ribosomal RNA is filed under the name Limosilactobacillus fermentum. RNAcentral describes it as "bacterial SSU rRNA". It matches the Rfam family "Bacterial small subunit ribosomal RNA", at positions 100 to 529 of the family's 1533-position model. The record is from RNAcentral. Lineage: Bacteria; Bacillati; Bacillota; Bacilli; Lactobacillales; Lactobacillaceae.